AUUGAACGCUGGCGGCAGGCCUAACACAUGCAAGUCGAGCGGAUGAAGGGAGCUUGCUCCUGGAUUCAGCGGCGGACGGGUGAGUAAUGCCUAGGAAUCUGCCUGGUAGUGGGGGAUAACGUCCGGAAACGGGCGCUAAUACCGCAUACGUCCUGAGGGAGAAAGUGGGGGAUCUUCGGACCUCACGCUAUCAGAUGAGCCUAGGUCGGAUUAGCUAGUUGGUGGGGUAAAGGCCUACCAAGGCGACGAUCCGUAACUGGUCUGAGGGGAUGAACAGUCACACUGGAGCUGAGCCGCGGCCCAGGCUCCUACGGGAGGCCGCGGUGGGGACUGUUGGAAACUGGGCGAAAGCCUGCUCCAUCCAUGCCGCGUGGGUGAAGAAGGUCCGCGUGUUGUAAAGCACUUUACGUUGGGAGGAAGGGCAUUAAGUUAAUACCUUGCUGUUUUGCCGUUACCAACAGAAUAAGCCCCGCCAACCUUCGU
Molecule: ribosomal RNA, 483 nt
Filed under: uncultured bacterium
Lineage: Bacteria
Description: partial 16S ribosomal RNA
Rfam family: Bacterial small subunit ribosomal RNA
Source: RNAcentral